RNAcentral lists this transfer RNA (76 nucleotides) under Methylococcaceae bacterium. RNAcentral describes it as "tRNA-Lys". It matches the Rfam family "tRNA". From Rfam's summary of the family: Transfer RNA (tRNA) molecules are approximately 80 nucleotides in length. Their secondary structure includes four short double-helical elements and three loops (D, anti-codon, and T loops). The record is from RNAcentral. Lineage: Bacteria; Pseudomonadati; Pseudomonadota; Gammaproteobacteria; Methylococcales; Methylococcaceae. RNAcentral also lists the same sequence under 2 other names.
GGGUCCUUAGCUCAGCUGGUAGAGCACCGCACUUUUAAUGCGAUUGUCGCGAGUUCGAAUCUCGCAGGACCCACCA